AGUUGCUUAGUAUAGAUCAUUACUUCUGAUUUCGGCUCAGAAAACGAAAUAACAAUUCGGCAGCUA
This 66-nucleotide transfer RNA is filed under the name Trichodectes canis. RNAcentral describes it as "tRNA-Arg". The record is from RNAcentral. Lineage: Eukaryota; Metazoa; Arthropoda; Insecta; Psocodea; Trichodectidae.